AUUGAACGCUGGCGGCAGGCCUAACACAUGCAAGUCGAACGGUAACAGGAAGAAGCUUGCUUCUUUGCUGACGAGUGGCGGACGGGUGAGUAAUGUCUGGGAAACUGCCUGAUGGAGGGGGAUAACUACUGGAAACGGUAGCUAAUACCGCAUAACGUCGCAAGACCAAAGAGGGGGACCUUCGGGCCUCUUGCCAUCGGAUUUGCCCAGAUGGGAUUAGCUAGUAGGUGGGGUAACGGCUCACCUAGGCGACGAUCCCUAGCUGGUCUGAGAGGAUGACCAGCCACACUGGAACUGAGACACGGUCCAGACUCCUACGGGAGGCAGCAGUGGGGAAUAUUGCACAAAGGGCGCAAGCCUGAUGCAGCAAUGCCGCGUGUAUGAAGAAGGCCUUCGGGUUGUAAAGUACUUUCAGCGGGGAGGAAGGGAGUAAAGUUAAUACCUUUGCUCAUUGACGUUACCCGAAGAAGAAGCACCGGCUAACUCCGUG
RNAcentral lists this ribosomal RNA (490 nucleotides) under uncultured bacterium. RNAcentral's name for it is "partial 16S ribosomal RNA". It matches the Rfam family "Bacterial small subunit ribosomal RNA", at positions 30 to 507 of the family's 1533-position model. The record is from RNAcentral.